Catharus ustulatus (Swainson's thrush) is the source of this 1908-nucleotide long non-coding RNA. RefSeq lists it as uncharacterized. The record is from RefSeq and is a predicted model, not a curated record. NCBI's taxonomy places the organism in Eukaryota, Metazoa, Chordata, Aves, Passeriformes, Turdidae. The transcript has 6 exons.
UCGCCGCUGUCGCCCGCCCGCACGCGCUCCCGCGGGUUUUCGCCGUGCCCCAGCGCGUUUUCCGCUCCUGGCUCCUCUGCUCGUCCUUAGGUCUGAGCCCAGCCCCGCAGCGCGAGGUCAGAGCGGCUGAGAACGCGCCCUGCGCAUCGCGACAAUCGGGGAUCCCGACCCCGCGCUGCCUGCCGGGGGUGGUGGUGAGAUGUCGAUCUGAACGUGGAUUUUAACCAUUUUAACCACUAACCAUGGUAACCAUGACCAGCCUUUGCUUUUUUUAUUUAUAUCACUGGAUUUGCUGGACCAUCCCAUCAGUGUCACUCGUUUGAUUUCUGGGGUGAUGGCGCGAUUACAAAUUUCCGUGAUUUUUGUUUCGCGUGGCUGUCAUUGUGGCGAGCAGUGUCUGUUGUGUUCGUUUGAGCCUGCAGCUGUCCCGGGUGGCCAGUGGCACCCAGCGAUCCCCGUGGCUCCGGGCUGUGCCCUGCUGUCCCCAGCUGUUCACUCUGGCAACAGCUGGAAACCUCUGGAGGGAUCCCGAGAUGGAUUCAUCACCCUGGCCCGGUGAGCCCGAACCACCUGGCUGGUGUUGUGUGUGCGUGUUUCUCUUUGUAGCUGCAGGGAGCCAGAGCUAAAGUGAGUCUGUCUGGAAACUCCUCGGCCUUGCUCCUGAUUUAAUGUGACACAGGGAAACAGGAUCAUCCCAGAGUUCUCCUGCAGCUCUGAAACCUCAGCUGGCUGCGGUUGGUGCUCAAGGUAGCCCUGCUGAAUGUGGCUCACACACAAUUCCUGCAAGGAAUGGUGCUAAGCAGUUCUGGCACUGGAGACUGGCAGGGAAUUCUGGGGAGAAAAUGGAACUCCAUGUGAGCUCGUUGGUCCUCCUUGCACUGAGACCAGCAGACCCUGGGCUGUGGCUUUCUCUUCCUCCGGGAGCAGCAAUCAUCUGGAAUUAUUCCUGUUGGAGUAACCUGAGCUGGCCAGAGCUUUUCUAUUCACAUUGGUACCACCAGCAACAGGCUUGAAGAGAUGCACAGAAAACCAAACAUGGAAACAUGGUUAGAGUGCAGUAGUGCUUAAAAUAGUCUUAAAUAGUUUUGUGCUUGGUACAGGAAGUUGCAGCUCCUACUCUAACCUUUUACUACUAAGAAACCCCACAUCUUACUUAAAAGUUCCAUGAUACAGAUGAGAUUUCAGUGACUAGUCCUGGGGAAAAUCUGUCACAGAUGCAGACAGGGAAAAAAAAAAGACUUUUUGUUUCAGGUGUGUAUAAGGCUUCACAGCUUCACUUCCAAAAGGGCUCUCCAGGACUGAGCUUCCCAAGUUACAUGCCUCAAUCCCUCCUCCCAGCAGUGCACCCUAAAUAAUUUGGGUCCUGACUAUUAGAAAUCAUCAUGUGAAGCCCACUGAAUGGACAGGAAGAUUCCCAGUGAUUCAUCUGUUUUCAAUUAUGUCCCUAAGAGCACUCCUGCCCUUUCUUCCUGCUCGUAAUAGCUGGAGAAGUUAUUAGAUCUGCUGGGGCUCUGGAUGGGCUGCCACUGAUUUCUGGGGAUUUGGAUCAAUGCUCUUUGACUCAGUUUCCCUGUCUGUAAACAAGACAUUUAAUAAGGGCAAGGAGUCUCCAGAGUAUGGAAGAGAUGCUGGGAUGAAAGCUGCUGCUACCUGGUAACUCCACAACUGCUGGCAGUGGCGGUAGAGCUGAAGCUGCAAAUCUGAAAUACAGCUGUCAUUGCUGAUUUCAAUGUCAUCCCACCUCCAGGUAAGGAAAUAGAGCUCAUCUUGGGACAAACACGCCACAUUCAGCCUUCUUAACCUUCAGUCUGGAGAGCUGCAAAGAUGAACAGAAGAAUUUUAUGCAUAACAUUUUAACUUGGCUUGAUGUACUUCCCAGUAGCAUGUAAAUAAACUGCUUGAUUUGGA